Molecule: ribosomal RNA, 294 nt
Filed under: Triticum aestivum (bread wheat)
Lineage: Eukaryota; Viridiplantae; Streptophyta; Magnoliopsida; Poales; Poaceae
Description: partial small subunit ribosomal RNA
Source: RNAcentral
AUGCUUGCCGAGGGCCUGGUCUGGACCCUAUCUUCUGUCUAUGGCCCUCAAGGGGAGCAAGAAAAGCAACUCUUCAUUGAUGAUCUUAGGGGACUGAAGAGCGUGGUGAAGCCUCGGUGGCUCAUCCUCGGUGACUUCAACCUAAUCACCAAGGCGGCUGACAAGAACAAUCAGAACAUCAACAAGCGCCUCAUCGGACGCUUCCGGGCUGCGCUAAACCACCUGCAGCUAAAGGAGAUCCGGCUAUCCGGUCGGAAGUUCACAUGGUCAAAUGCUCAGGAAACCCGAUGCUGA